This is a non-coding RNA of Prunus avium (sweet cherry), 362 nucleotides long. The record is from RefSeq and is a predicted model, not a curated record. Lineage: Eukaryota; Viridiplantae; Streptophyta; Magnoliopsida; Rosales; Rosaceae.
CCCAUGUUUUCUUUUGAUAUUUUGCAGGUGCUCUUUUGUUGCUUUGGAUAGAGCAGUUUGGUUGGUGUUUUCGGUUAUGUUAAGCAGGAGGUGCUGUAUAACUGUUUUUUAGACUGUUUGGUAGCUCUUCCCAUUGCUGCUAGACAUCAGAUAGCUGUUGUGAUCCUGCUUUUGUGUGGCUGUUUUUCAAAGUGCUUGAUAGCUUCUUUGACUACAGAGUUAAAACCUUUUGAAUGGAGAAGAAGGAACAUCAGCCAGCUACGCAACAAAUGCAGCAACAGCUAGAUGCCCUUGCAAGAAACAUCAAAAAAGAAAAAUCCAUGUCCACCACCCAUUAAAAUAUAGAUAGACGCCUGUACAAG